This 493-nucleotide ribosomal RNA is filed under the name uncultured bacterium. RNAcentral's name for it is "bacterial SSU rRNA". It matches the Rfam family "Bacterial small subunit ribosomal RNA", at positions 15 to 507 of the family's 1533-position model. The record is from RNAcentral.
GAUCAUGGCUCAGGAUGAACGCUAGCGGCAGGCCUAACACAUGCAAGUCGAGGGGUAUAGGGAGCUUGCUUCCUAGAGACCGGCGCACGGGUGCGUAACGCGUAUGCAAUCUACCUUGUACAGGGGAAUAGCCCAGAGAAAUUUGGAUUAAUGCCCCAUAGUAUUAUUAAAUGGCAUCCUUUAAUAAUUAAAGUUCCAACGGUACAAGAUGAGCAUGCGUCCUAUUAGUUAGUUGGUGUGGUAACGGCAUACCAAGACGAUGAUAGGUAGGGGUCCUGAGAGGGAGAUCCCCCACACUGGUACUGAGACACGGACCAGACUCCUACGGGAGGCAGCAGUGAGGAAUAUUGGACAAUGGGCGCAAGCCUGAUCCAGCCAUGCCGCGUGCAGGAAGACGGUCCUAUGGAUUGUAAACUGCUUUUAUACAGGAAGAAACACUGGUUCGUGAACCAGCUUGACGGUACUGUAAGAAUAAGGAUCGGCUAACUCCGUG